AAAAAAAAAAAAGAGGAGCUGCCCUUAGUACGAGAGGACCGGGGUGGACGUACCUCUGGUGUAUCAGUUGUUCCGCCAGGAGCAUCGCUGGGUAGCUAUGUUUGGAUGAGAUAAACGCUGAAAGCAUCUAAGUGUGAAACUCGCCUCGAGAUGAGAUUUCCCAUUCUUUAUGAAGUAAGACCCCUUAGAGAUGAUGAGGUAGAUAGGCUAGAAGUGGAAGUACAGUGAUGUAUGUAGCGGACUAGUACUAAUAGGUCGAGGACUUAACCAA
Molecule: ribosomal RNA, 271 nt
Filed under: Bifidobacterium breve
Lineage: Bacteria; Bacillati; Actinomycetota; Actinomycetes; Bifidobacteriales; Bifidobacteriaceae
Description: partial 23S ribosomal RNA
Rfam family: Bacterial large subunit ribosomal RNA
Source: RNAcentral